RNAcentral lists this ribosomal RNA (506 nucleotides) under uncultured bacterium. RNAcentral describes it as "partial 16S ribosomal RNA". It matches the Rfam family "Bacterial small subunit ribosomal RNA", at positions 29 to 523 of the family's 1533-position model. The record is from RNAcentral.
AUUGAACGCUGGCGGCAGGCCUAACACAUGCAAGUCGAACGGCAGCACAGAAGAGCUUACUCUUUGGGUGGCGAGUGGCGGACGGGUGAGUAAUGUCUGGGAAACUGCCCGAUGGAGGGGGAUAACUACUGGAAACGGUAGCUAAUACCGCAUAACGUCGCGAGACCAAAGUGGGGGACCUUCGGGCCUCACACCAUCGGAUGUGCCCAGAUGGGAUUAGCUAGUAGGUGGGGUAAUGGCUCACCUAGGCGACGAUCCCUAGCUGGUCUGAGAGGAUGACCAGCCACACUGGAACUGAGACACGGUCCAGACUCCUACGGGAGGCAGCAGUGGGGAAUAUUGCACAAUGGGCGCAAGCCUGAUGCAGCCAUGCCGCGUGUAUGAAGAAGGCCCUCGGGUUGUAAAGUACUUUCAGCGGGGAGGAAGGCGGUGAGGUUAAUAACCUCGCCGAUUGACGUUACCCGCAGAAGAAGCACCGGCUAACUCCGUGCCAGCCGCCGCAGUAA